UAGGUAAUCUUCCGCAAUGGACGAAAGUCUGACGGAGCAACGCCGCGUGAGUGAAGAAGGAUUUCGGUUCGUAAAACUCUGUUGCUAGGGAAGAAAAAAUGUAUAGUAACUAUAUACAAAAGAGACGGUACCUAACCAGAAAGCCACGGCUAACUACGUGCCAGCAGCCGCGGUAAUACGUAGGUGGCAAGCGUUGUCCGGAAUUAUUGGGCGUAAAGCGCGCGUAGGUGGUUUAGAAAGUCUGAUGUGAAAGCCCACGGCUCAACCGUGGAGGGUCAUUGGAAACUAAUAAGCUUGAGUGCAGGAGAGAAAAGUGGAAUUCCUAGUGUAGCGGUGAAAUGCGUAGAGAAUAGGAGGAACACCGGUGGCGAAAGCGGCUUUUUGGCCUGCAACUGACACUGAGGCGCGAAAGCGUGGAGAGCAAACAGG
This 429-nucleotide ribosomal RNA is filed under the name Verrucomicrobiota bacterium. RNAcentral's name for it is "Verrucomicrobia bacterium partial 16S ribosomal RNA". It matches the Rfam family "Bacterial small subunit ribosomal RNA", at positions 355 to 776 of the family's 1533-position model. The record is from RNAcentral. Lineage: Bacteria; Pseudomonadati; Verrucomicrobiota.